CCUACGGGAGGCAGCAGUGGGGAAUAUUGGGCAAUGGACGCAAGUCUGACCCAGCAACGCCGCGUGAAGGAAGAAGGCUUUCGGGUUGUAAACUUCUUUUAAGGGGGAAGAGCAGAAGACGGUACCCCUUGAAUAAGCCACGGCUAACUACGUGCCAGCAGCCGCGGUAAUACGUAGGUGGCAAGCGUUGUCCGGAUGUACUGGGGGUAAAGGGCGUGCAGCCGGAGAGAUAAGUCAGAUGUGAAAUCCACAGGCUCAACCUGUGAUCUGCAUUUGACGCUGUUUACAUUGAGUAUCGGAGAGGUCAUCGGAAUUCCUAGUGUAGCGGUGAAAUGCGUAGAUAUUAGGAAGAACACCAGUGGCGAAGGCGGAUGACUGGACGACAACUGACGGUGAGGCGCGAAAGCGUGGGGAGCAAACAGGAUUAGAUACCCGGGUAGUC
This 442-nucleotide ribosomal RNA is filed under the name uncultured bacterium. Its description in RNAcentral is "partial 16S ribosomal RNA". It matches the Rfam family "Bacterial small subunit ribosomal RNA", at positions 338 to 795 of the family's 1533-position model. The record is from RNAcentral.